AAGUAGGGGAUCGUAAGACCUUGCGCUUUUGGAGUGGCCGAUGCCUGAUUAGCUAGUUGGUGGGGUAAGGGCCUACCAAGGCGACGAUCAGUAGUUGGUCUGAGAGGACGACCAGCCACACUGGGACUGAGACACGGCCCAGACUCCUACGGGAGGCAGCAGUGGGGAAUUUUGGACAAUGGGCGGAAGCCUGAUCCAGCAAUGCCGCGUGAGUGAAGAAGGCCUUCGGGUUGUAAAGCUCUUUCAGUCGAGAAGAAAAGGUUGCGACUAAUAAUCGCAACUUAUGACGGUAUCGACAGAAGAAGCACCGGCUAACUACGUGCCAGCAGCCGCGGUAAUACGUAGGGUGCGAGCGUUAAUCGGAAUUACUGGGCGUAAAGGGUGCGCAGGCGGCUCUGUAAGUCAGAUGUGAAAUCCCCGGGCUUAACCUGGGAAUUGCGUUUGAAACUACAAGGCUUAG
This 460-nucleotide ribosomal RNA is filed under the name uncultured ammonia-oxidizing beta proteobacterium. RNAcentral describes it as "bacterial SSU rRNA". It matches the Rfam family "Bacterial small subunit ribosomal RNA", at positions 202 to 645 of the family's 1533-position model. Lineage: Bacteria; Pseudomonadati; Pseudomonadota; Betaproteobacteria. The record is from RNAcentral.